AUGGCCAGUAACCCUACGACUACUACGGCAUGCACCCGCGGUUUGCUGAAAGGUCUCGGCGCUAAACUGCACGCAUGCGCGGCGCGCUUGCGCAACCAACUCUUCUUCCCCGCCUCCACCGCUUCAUCGGUCUUGCUGUCCGCCCUCGCCUUGCUUGUCUGCGGCACCGCUCUCUCGAGGGUCGUCGUCUUUUUCCUGCCGCUGGUGGUCUCCACCACCAUCUGCUGCGCGGCGAUGUACCUGCUCGUCGCCUCGGGGUCGUCGGAGGGAGGGGCGGCGAAAGAGGUCGUGCUCCUGUGGGGAGACAGGGUGGAGGUCGGGCUCCUGGAGGUGUACGGCGGCGCGAACGCGAGCGCGUACGGCGACAGGCGCGACGUCCAAGUGGGCUGUUUCCUGCACCGCACGUCCCCUAGCGGCGACGGCGGGUGGAAGAAACUUGGCGUCGACGAGAACGGCGAGGAGGUGGUGUUUGCCGGCAGGGUGGCGGUCGGCGGCAGCGUGCAGGACGGCGCGGCGCUCGAGGAGGAGCUGGUGGCUAUCCAGGUGGACAGGUUGGCCGAGGGCGUGUGGGAGCGCUACUUCGGCGGGAGCUCCGGGUGGAACUACGUGACCGCUGAGCGUGAGGAGAUCGACCGAAGCAUCGAGCAGCUAGCGUAA
This 657-nucleotide ribosomal RNA is filed under the name Triticum aestivum (bread wheat). RNAcentral's name for it is "partial small subunit ribosomal RNA". The record is from RNAcentral. Lineage: Eukaryota; Viridiplantae; Streptophyta; Magnoliopsida; Poales; Poaceae.